CCCGGUUGACUUGGAGCUGGCUGUCCGAGCUGUGGCUUGGAAGACCGACGCGAUGAAGCCCAGACCUGCAGGGUUCGUGGAUAAUAAACUCAAGCAGCGAGUGAUCCAGUGUAGACUAUGGUCGAAGAAAAAGAAAUGCUUUUAGGAUUCAGGUAGAAAAAGUAUUUAGCAUAAUUAGUAGUGAGAAGGAACUUAAGAAUUUAACAGAAUUAGAAGAUGAACAUUUGGCAAAAAGAGCAAGACAAGGUGAAGAGGAUAAUGACGUCUUGCUCUGUCACCCAGGCUUCAGUGCACUGGCACAAUCAUGGCUUACCGCAGUCUUGAUGUCCCAGGCCCAAGCGAUCCUCCCACCUCAGCCUCACAAGUACACUGAAAGCCAUUCUGAUGAUGAUUCAAGUAUGGAAGACUACCCAGAUCCACAGUCAGCAAAUCACAUGAACAGUUCCCUGCUGUCUUUAUAUCGGAAAGGAAAUCCUGAUUCUGUUUCAAAUACUCCUGAGAUGGAGCAAAGAGAAACCACCUCUUCAACACCACGGAUAAGUUCCAAAACAGGCUCCAUUCCCUUGAAGACCCCUGCCAAAGAUUCUGAGGGAGGAUGGUUUAUUGACAAAACCCCAAGUGGAAAGAAAGAAAGUUUUUUCUUGGACCUGUCAGAUGAGAAAAGUAAUCCUAAGAAGCCAAUAACUGAGAUAC
This 693-nucleotide small RNA is filed under the name Pongo abelii (Sumatran orangutan). RNAcentral describes it as "processed transcript". The record is from RNAcentral. Lineage: Eukaryota; Metazoa; Chordata; Mammalia; Primates; Hominidae.